GAAAAGUUAAAAAUUCCUUCACAGACUUCUCGCAACCCAAGGCUCUCUUUAAAAAUACUUUUUCAGCAUGGAUCCCGCAGCUCCUUUAGAGUCUUAGCUCCUUUUACUUCUGUUUGACUGUAACUAAACUGACUUAGAGGCUGGGCUUUAUUUCUAUGAACCUUUUAACAUAAACACUACAAAUUCUCGUAUCAAAUCACCAAGUACUUGGAAAAAGUUUGUCUUUGAUGAUGCAUAUAGGCACAGACAAAUAUAACAGACAGGAUUAAGUCAAUUAGUUAAAAUAACAUCUUGAAGAGUUUCUUGAUUUGCAUCUCUCCAGGCAUUCUCAUUGUCCGUGACAGAAAUUGGAACUCUGGUGCAAGGGAAUCAUGUGAAUUUUUCCAUGAUCCUUUUAAGGGAAAAAGGUACUAUGCUCUCCUGCCCGGCCACCUCUGUGUGUGUUGGACAUUGGUCCAUGUGUAUUGGUUAGUAAAGCUGCUGAUUGAACUCUUUGUGAUGCAUCCUUACCCACCAGGUCUCGAAAGGUCCUUCCCCAUUGGUGGACUCCCAACAUGUGGAACAAUUUAAGAACAAGCCUUGCAUAGAUUGUUCUAAGAAUGCAUCAAAUUAUGGACCUGCAGAUGGCAGAGCCUUGCAGUGAAACUUCUAAAAUUAUUUUAAGGAUUUGAUCCUUUGAAGCUUAUUGUGGAGCCAUGAAAAUCAUCUUGGCUUAACUGGAUCUUUAUCAACUGGCGGGAUCUGAAGCCUUAAAACAUUUUCAUUUCAAGGAUCUGUGGACAUCAUUUGCCAGCAUCAUCUAUACUCCAAAACAGCCUAGGUGCUUGUAUUUGAAGUCAAUCUUUGGUCUAAAUAUUCCUCGGUCUGUCUGUCUGUCCUCUGAUGGACUCCCUGGAGACAAAUUUGUUUAUGUGUGUCUUCUAAUCUAGACCUCGCUUGAUAUGUCAAACCUAAUAAGUCUUGGUGGACUGAAAUUGCCACUUCUAUUCUUCAUUUACCCCAAUUUGAAGCUGAGACUCAUUAUUGAAUCAAUGCAUCACCUGUCGUUCGUUACUUG
Molecule: non-coding RNA, 1057 nt
Organism: Theobroma cacao (cacao)
Lineage: Eukaryota; Viridiplantae; Streptophyta; Magnoliopsida; Malvales; Malvaceae
Source: RefSeq, a predicted model, not a curated record